RNAcentral lists this ribosomal RNA (466 nucleotides) under uncultured bacterium. RNAcentral describes it as "bacterial SSU rRNA". It matches the Rfam family "Bacterial small subunit ribosomal RNA", at positions 328 to 793 of the family's 1533-position model. The record is from RNAcentral.
CUACCAGACUCCUACGGGAGGCAGCAGUGAGGAAUAUUGGUCAAUGGGCGAGAGCCUGAACCAGCCAAGUCGCGUGAGGGAGUACUGCCCUAUGGGUUGUAAACCUCUUUUGUCGGGGAGCAAAAGCCGGACGUGUCCGUCUGUGAGAGUACCCGAAGAAAAAGCAUCGGCUAACUCCGUGCCAGCAGCCGCGGUAAUACGGAGGAUGCGAGCGUUAUCCGGAUUUAUUGGGUUUAAAGGGUGCGCAGGCGGAGUUUAAAGUCAGGGGUAAAACCGGGGGGCUCAACCCCAACCGGCCGUUGAAACUGGGGAUCUAGAGUGUGCGAGAGGUAUGCGGAAUGCGUGGUGUAGCGGUGAAAUGCAUAGAUAUCACGCAGAACCCCGAGUGCGAAGGCAGCAUACCGGCGGCGAUCUGACGCUGAGGCACGAAAGCGUGGGUAUCGAACAGGAUUAGAUACCCCUGUAC